UAAUGCUCCAUAGUGGAUAUGUCCUGGAAUGGUAUAUCCUCGAAAGAUCCGUCGCCUUAGGAUGGGACUGCGUCCGAUUAGGUUGUUGGCGGGGUAACGGCCCACCAAGCCAUUGAUCGGUACGGGUUGUGGGAGCAAGAUCCCGGAGAUGGAUUCUGAGACAUGAAUCCAGGCCCUACGGGGCGCAGCAGGCGCGCAAACUUUACAAUGCGAGCAAUCGUGAUAAGGAAACCCUGAGUGCCUGUCGAUGCAGGCUGUUCAUAUAUCUAAAUCAUAUGUGAAGAAAGGGCAGGGCAAGACCGGUGCCAGCCGCCGCGGUAAUACCGGCUGCUCGAGUGAUGGCCACUAUUACUGGGUUUAAAGCGUCCGUAGCUUGACUGUUAGGUCUCUUGGGAAAUCUUCACGCUCAACGUGAAGGCGUCUAAGAGAUACCGGCAGUCUUGGAACUGGGAGAGGUAAACCGUACUUCGGGGGUAGGAGUGAAAUCUUGUAAUCCUCGAGGGACGACCUAUGGCGAAGGCAGUUUACCAAAACAGCUUCGACAGUGAGGGACGAGAGCUGGGGGAACAAACGGGAUUAGAUACCCCCGGUAGUCCCAGCCGUAAACAAUGUGCGUUAGGUGU
Molecule: ribosomal RNA, 623 nt
Filed under: uncultured archaeon
Lineage: Archaea
Description: bacterial SSU rRNA
Rfam family: Archaeal small subunit ribosomal RNA
Source: RNAcentral